Molecule: ribosomal RNA, 530 nt
Filed under: uncultured bacterium
Lineage: Bacteria
Description: bacterial SSU rRNA
Rfam family: Bacterial small subunit ribosomal RNA
Source: RNAcentral
UCUUGACAUCCACGGAAUUUAGCAGAGAUGCUUUAGUGCCUUCGGGAACCGUGAGACAGGUGCUGCAUGGCUGUCGUCAGCUCGUGUUGUGAAAUGUUGGGUUAAGUCCCGNAACGAGCGCAACCCUUAUCCUUUGUUGCCAGCGGUUCGGCCGGGAACUCAAAGGAGACUGCCAGUGAUAAACUGGAGGAAGGUGGGGAUGACGUCAAGUCAUCAUGGCCCUUACGAGUAGGGCUACACACGUGCUACAAUGGCGUAUACAAAGAGAAGCGACCUCGCGAGAGCAAGCGGACCUCAUAAAGUACGUCGUAGUCCGGAUUGGAGUCUGCAACUCGACUCCAUGAAGUCGGAAUCGCUAGUAAUCGUGGAUCAGAAUGCUACGGUGAAUACGUUCCCGGGCCUUGUACACACCGCCCGUCACACCAUGGGAGUGGGUUGCAAAAGAAGUAGGUAGCUUAACCUUCGGGAGGGCGCUUACCACUUUGUGAUUCAUGACUGGGGUGAAGUCGUAACAAGGUAAGCGUAGAUGA